RNAcentral lists this ribosomal RNA (504 nucleotides) under uncultured bacterium. Its description in RNAcentral is "bacterial SSU rRNA". It matches the Rfam family "Bacterial small subunit ribosomal RNA", at positions 144 to 664 of the family's 1533-position model. The record is from RNAcentral.
UAACAGUCGGAACAACUGCUAAUACCGGAUGCCGUCGGAGCGUCGCAUGGCGGCGCUGACGAAAGGGUUACUGGAUCAGGAGGGUCUCGCGGCCUAUCAGCUUGUUGUGGGGUAACGGCCUACCAAGGCAUCGACGGGUAGCUGGUCUGAGAGGAUGAUCAGCCACACUGGGACUGAGACACGGCCCAGACUCCUACGGGAGGCAGCAGUGGGGAAUCUUGCGCAAUGGGGCGAAAGCCUGACGCAGCAACGCCGCGUGCGGGAAGAAGGCCUUCGGGUUGUAAACCGCUUUCAGAAGGAACGAAACUGACGGUACUUUCAGAAGAAGGUGCGGCCAACUACGUGCCAGCAGCCGCGGUGACACGUAGGCACCAAGCGUUGUCCGGAUUUAUUGGGCGUAAAGAGCUCGUAGGCGGUUCGGUAAGUCGGGGUGUGAAAACUUUGGGCUCAACCCAAAGCGUGCAUUCGAUACUGCCGUGACUAGAGUUCGGUAGGGGAGUGGGG